Molecule: long non-coding RNA, 324 nt
Filed under: Vitis vinifera (wine grape)
Lineage: Eukaryota; Viridiplantae; Streptophyta; Magnoliopsida; Vitales; Vitaceae
Description: long non-coding RNA (VVIN_LNC000199)
Source: RNAcentral
GUUCAAUUUCUCCCUCCUCGUUUUUCAUUCUCCCCAUCCGAUCUCCGUAACUGUCUCUCCGCAAUCUCAUCCUCUUCUUCUUCUUCUAAUUCUUCUCAGAAGGUGACCUCCCCACCACUUCCACACCCAUCCCCACCCGCCUCUGAUCCUCCUUCUCCCCCACCAUUACCCCCACCUCCUUCCAUUCAACAGCAACAAAAAGAUCAGAUUCUAGACGGUGGCAUCAUCAAGCGGGCCUUCAAUCCUUACGGUGCAGCCGCAUACAACUUCGUUCUCAUGUCCGCUUACAGAGGUGGCCUCAACACUUUCGCGGUCGUCGGACUC